Molecule: long non-coding RNA, 389 nt
Filed under: Androctonus crassicauda
Lineage: Eukaryota; Metazoa; Arthropoda; Arachnida; Scorpiones; Buthidae
Source: RNAcentral
UGAUUACAAAACAGAAACAAGAAGGCUAUUUUCUUUCGGAGUUUAUAAUGCAACAGUAACUCAAAACAGUUCAAUGUUAAAGAAUAAUAUCGAAAGAGAAUGAGGGAACCCCGUUGUGUCCAGCGAAUCGUUCAUAGCGAAAAUGUGGUCGUAUGUCAAUACCCCCACCAUCUACAACACCUGGGUGCAGUAACACACCACUUGUUCUUUAUUCUGGUUGGCAACCAUCCAGCUGGAUGUCUUAUUAAAGUAGUGAAACUUAGGACGACAGCCUAUCUGUGUUUUUACAAGAGGCUGGAAAUCGGGAUUUGAUGAUGGAAGUUGCACACGAUCUGUUUGGCUAAGAACCUCAUAUUAUCCCAGAUUAGUAAAUACGUCAGUCGACAAUU